CAAUUACGCCAAAAAUUUGGUGAGGAAAGUCCGAGCACCAUAGAGCAAUCACGCUUGAUAACAUCAAGCCAAAGUGAUUUGAGGAAAAGUGCAACAGAAAUAUACAGCCUUCGGGCAAUGGUGAAAUAGUGAGGUAAGAGCUCACUCGAAAUAUUGGUGACAAUAAUUCGCUGUAAACUCCGUGAGGUGCAAGAUGUGGAACUUAUGGGCUGCUCGUCCGUUCCCGUAAUCGCAUGAGCAUGUCAGCAAUGAUAUGCCUAGAUUGAUGAUUGCCUUAAAUGACAGAACUCGGCUUACAGGUCAACU
Molecule: RNase P RNA, 306 nt
Filed under: chicken gut metagenome
Description: Bacterial RNase P class A
Rfam family: Bacterial RNase P class A
About the family: Ribonuclease P (RNase P) is a ubiquitous endoribonuclease, found in archaea, bacteria and eukarya as well as chloroplasts and mitochondria. Its best characterised activity is the generation of mature 5'-ends of tRNAs by cleaving the 5'-leader elements of precursor-tRNAs.
Source: RNAcentral